Molecule: ribosomal RNA, 2793 nt
Filed under: Salmonella enterica
Lineage: Bacteria; Pseudomonadati; Pseudomonadota; Gammaproteobacteria; Enterobacterales; Enterobacteriaceae
Description: partial 23S ribosomal RNA
Rfam family: Bacterial large subunit ribosomal RNA
Source: RNAcentral
GGUUAAGCGACUAAGCGUACACGGUGGAUGCCCUGGCAGUCAGAGGCGAUGAAGGACGUGCUAAUCUGCGAUAAGCGCCGGUAAGGUGAUAUGAACCGUUAUAACCGGCGAUUUCCGAAUGGGGAAACCCAGUGUGAUUCGUCACACUAUCAUUACGUGAAUACAUAGCGUAAUGAAGCGAACCGGGGGAACUGAAACAUCUAAGUACCCCGAGGAAAAGAAAUCAACCGAGAUUCCCCCAGUAGCGGCGAGCGAACGGGGAGGAGCCCAGAGCCUGAAUCAGCAUGUGUGUUAGUGGAAGCGUCUGGAAAGGCGCGCGAUACAGGGUGACAGCCCCGUACACAAAAGCGCAUGUGCUGUGAGCUCGAUGAGUAGGGCGGGACACGUGGUAUCCUGUCUGAAUAUGGGGGGACCAUCCUCCAAGGCUAAAUACUCCUGACUGACCGAUAGUGAACCAGUACCGUGAGGGAAAGGCGAAAAGAACCCCGGCGAGGGGAGUGAAAAAGAACCUGAAACCGUGUACGUACAAGCAGUGGGAGCCCCACCACUAAGCCAGUGGUGAACUCCACAUACGCAUCCUUUGCUGAGGAUACGGUUAACGGAGCGAAAGCGACGUUCAACCGCAAAAGAAGCAGAGGGGGCUUAGUGGUGGGGUGACUGCGUACCUUUUGUAUAAUGGGUCAGCGACUUAUAUUCUGUAGCAAGGUUAACCGAAUAGGGGAGCCGCAGGGAAACCGAGUCUUAAUUGGGCGUUAAGUUGCAGGGUAUAGACCCGAAACCCGGUGAUCUAGCCAUGGGCAGGUUGAAGGUUGGGUAACACUAACUGGAGGACCGAACCGACUAAUGUUGAAAAAUUAGCGGAUGACCUGUGGCUGGGGGUGAAAGGCCAAUCAAACCGGGAGAUAGCUGGUUCUCCCCGAAAGCUAUUUAGGUAGCGCCUCGUGAAUUCAUCUCCGGGGGUAGAGCACUGUUUCGGCUAGGGGGCCAUCCCGGCUUACCAACCCGAUGCAAACUGCGAAUACCGGAGAAUGUUAUCACGGGAGACACACGGCGGGUGCUAACGUCCGUCGUGAAGAGGGAAACAACCCAGACCGCCAGCUAAGGUCCCAAAGUCAUGGUUAAGUGGGAAACGAUGUGGGAAGGCCCAGACAGCCAGGAUGUUGGCUUAGAAGCAGCCAUCAUUUAAAGAAAGCGUAAUAGCUCACUGGUCGAGUCGGCCUGCGCGGAAGAUGUAACGGGGCUAAACCAUGCACCGAAGCUGCGGCAGCGACGCUGAUGCGUUGUUGGGUAGGGGAGCGUUCUGUAAGCCUGUGAAGGUGUGUCGUGAGGCAUGCUGGAGGUAUCAGAAGUGCGAAUGCUGACAUAAGUAACGAUAAAGCGGGUGAAAAGCCCGCUCGCCGGAAGACCAAGGGUUCCUGUCCAACGUUAAUCGGGGCAGGGUGAGUCGACCCCUAAGGCGAGGCCGAAAGGCGUAGUCGAUGGGAAACGGGUUAAUAUUCCCGUACUUGGUGUUACUGCGAAGGGGGGACGGAGAAGGCUAUGUUGGCCGGGCGACGGUUGUCCCGGUUUAAGCGUGUAGGUGUGUGUUCCAGGUAAAUCCGGUUCACUUUAACACUGAGGCGUGAUGACGAGGCACUACGGUGCUGAAGCAACAAAUGCCCUGCUUCCAGGAAAAGCCUCUAAGCAUCAGGUAACAUCAAAUCGUACCCCAAACCGACACAGGUGGUCAGGUAGAGAAUACCAAGGCGCUUGAGAGAACUCGGGUGAAGGAACUAGGCAAAAUGGUGCCGUAACUUCGGGAGAAGGCACGCUGACACGUAGGUGAAGUGAUUUACUCACGGAGCUGAAGUCAGUCGAAGAUACCAGCUGGCUGCAACUGUUUAUUAAAAACACAGCACUGUGCAAACACGAAAGUGGACGUAUACGGUGUGACGCCUGCCCGGUGCCGGAAGGUUAAUUGAUGGGGUCAGCGCAAGCGAAGCUCCUGAUCGAAGCCCCGGUAAACGGCGGCCGUAACUAUAACGGUCCUAAGGUAGCGAAAUUCCUUGUCGGGUAAGUUCCGACCUGCACGAAUGGCGUAAUGAUGGCCAGGCUGUCUCCACCCGAGACUCAGUGAAAUUGAACUCGCUGUGAAGAUGCAGUGUACCCGCGGCAAGACGGAAAGACCCCGUGAACCUUUACUAUAGCUUGACACUGAACAUUGAGCCUUGAUGUGUAGGAUAGGUGGGAGGCUUUGAAGUGUGGACGCCAGUCUGCAUGGAGCCGACCUUGAAAUACCACCCUUUAAUGUUUGAUGUUCUAACGUGGACCCGUAAUCCGGGUUGCGGACAGUGUCUGGUGGGUAGUUUGACUGGGGCGGUCUCCUCCUAAAGAGUAACGGAGGAGCACGAAGGUUGGCUAAUCCUGGUCGGACAUCAGGAGGUUAGUGCAAUGGCAUAAGCCAGCUUGACUGCGAGCGUGACGGCGCGAGCAGGUGCGAAAGCAGGUCAUAGUGAUCCGGUGGUUCUGAAUGGAAGGGCCAUCGCUCAACGGAUAAAAGGUACUCCGGGGAUAACAGGCUGAUACCGCCCAAGAGUUCAUAUCGACGGCGGUGUUUGGCACCUCGAUGUCGGCUCAUCACAUCCUGGGGCUGAAGUAGGUCCCAAGGGUAUGGCUGUUCGCCAUUUAAAGUGGUACGCGAGCUGGGUUUAGAACGUCGUGAGACAGUUCGGUCCCUAUCUGCCGUGGGCGCUGGAGAACUGAGGGGGGCUGCUCCUAGUACGAGAGGACCGGAGUGGACGCAUCACUGGUGUU